RNAcentral lists this ribosomal RNA (387 nucleotides) under uncultured bacterium. Its description in RNAcentral is "bacterial SSU rRNA". It matches the Rfam family "Bacterial small subunit ribosomal RNA", at positions 28 to 417 of the family's 1533-position model. The record is from RNAcentral.
GACGAACGCUGGCGGCGUGCUUAACACAUGCAAGUCGAGCGGUAAGGCCCUUUCGGGGGUACACGAGCGGCGAACGGGUGAGUAACACGUGGGUGACCUGCCCUCAGCUCUGGGAUAAGCCUGGGAAACCGGGUCUAAUACUGGAUAUGACUCCAUGACGCAUGUUGUGGGGUGGAAGGCCUUGUGCGGCUGAGGAUGGGCCCGCGGCCUAUCAGCUUGUUGGUGGGGGAUGGCCUACCAAGGCGACGACGGGUAGCCGGCCUGAGAGGGCGACCGGCCACACUGGGACUGAGACACGGCCCAGACUCCUACGGGAGGCAGCAGUGGGGAAUCUUGCGCAAUGGGCGAAAGCCUGACGCAGCGACGCCGCGUGAGGGAUGACGGCCU